AUGAGAGAACACGAGGGUUCUGUUGGUGAUCGUGGCCGGACGCCUGGGAGCCAAUGCCCUGUGCCUUCCCAAGGUCAGUCCUGUAAGUCAGGGAAGGCUCUCUCCUGCCAGAUUGGUUUGAAAUGGAUUGUCAGGAAUUGUCCGGAACGGCAACCUUCCCGGUUGGGUCUGGGGAGCCUCCCGUGUCCAUUCCGUGUCAGCCUUCGGGGGAAGGUCAAAAAACACAAAACCAGCCCACCCGCGCGGGUGAUCUGCGUACGGCGCCUUAGACACCACGCCAGGGAAGGGUGUGCCUCAGAUCACAGGGUGAGGAGAAGACCACCAAGCUCCCAGCCCGUCUCCCUCCCGCGGUGUAGACUGAACCCAUGGCGUGCAGCAGGGAGGGAGGCCUCAGCUGACCUUUGUUACCUGCUGGCGUGCACACAGCCUCGACCCGAGCCCCAUCAAAGGCCGCCCCGGGAAAGCAGGUCAUAUUCCCAGAAGCUCCUGAGGACUACACAGGUAUUUAAAUAGUGCCUGCUGGUUGACGGAGACUUUGCAGAUAUUAGCUCACAGCCAUGACAAACCCAGGAAGCAAACAAUGUCAUUACCUCUGAUGUUCAGGUCAGGGAGCUCAGCCUCAGAGCAGGACCACCAGAACUGGAAGAUUGAGUGAGGGAGAGGCGAAGCCAGGCUGUGACCCCAAGUCCUGUGCACCUCCCACGGCACGCACUGCCUCACUCUGACCUGUGUGCUCAGAGCAGUGGUCCUUGGUCCUGGGCACAGCAGAGUCAGCCGGAAAGUCUGCUGAAAAUGCACCAUUUCUGGUCUCUCCCUCCUCCCCCUGGGAGAUUUGGAUUCGGUAGUUCUGGGCAGGGCCUGGGCAACAGGAUCUUUAUCAAGUGAAAAUCUGUUGUUGAGUAAAAGCAAUCUCAAGCAAAAAGAACAAAGAAGCAUCAUGUUUCCGGAUUUAAAAUUAUACUACAAAGCUAUGGUAAGCAAAGCAGUACGGUACUGGCCUAUAAACAGACACAGAAUUCAAUGGAACGGAAGAGAGAGCCCAGAGAUAAAAUUAUGCACAUAUGAUCAAUAAAUUUUCCACAAAGGACUGAGAAUACUCA
Molecule: long non-coding RNA, 1100 nt
Filed under: Vulpes vulpes (red fox)
Lineage: Eukaryota; Metazoa; Chordata; Mammalia; Carnivora; Canidae
Description: lncRNA (ENSVVUG00000015188.1)
Source: RNAcentral